This is a long non-coding RNA of Eucalyptus grandis, 324 nucleotides long. RefSeq lists it as uncharacterized. The transcript is spliced from 3 exons. Lineage: Eukaryota; Viridiplantae; Streptophyta; Magnoliopsida; Myrtales; Myrtaceae. The record is from RefSeq and is a predicted model, not a curated record.
CGUAACACGUCAAGUCUCGUAUAAGAUGGGCAAGGUCCUAUGAUAUUUCAGGUACAAAUAAGCCUAAGUUCUCCUUUCCUUUUUCGAAACAGCAUGUGGGGUGACCGGAGGUCCGGACCUUCCCUGAUUACCCGUAGAAUCGUAAGCGAGAGCCCUGGCGGAAGGAGAGUUGAGGUCAUUGAAGAAAGGAGCUGCGAGACCUUGGAUUGGGAGAAGAAGAUUACGUAGGGAGGCACGAUGAGGGCAAGUGUGCUUUGGGUGAAAAAUUUUCCUUCAAGUGAGGGUAAUCUUGUAGGAGUCUAUAAAUGCUAAGGAAACCCAAGA